RNAcentral lists this unclassified non-coding RNA (462 nucleotides) under Hevea brasiliensis (rubber tree). The record is from RNAcentral. Lineage: Eukaryota; Viridiplantae; Streptophyta; Magnoliopsida; Malpighiales; Euphorbiaceae.
UAGAGAACACACUACAUGCUAAAUUUGCAAAACUUCAAUGUCAAUUUUCCUUUAUAGAUGAUUUUGUACCACAUGAAUCAAUUGUGAAUCAAAUUGAACUUAAAAACAUUCCUCCUCUACAAGGUUUUCAUGACUCUCCCACAGCCCAAUCUAUGUCUACAACAUGCAUGGAAAUAUUGAGCCGAUUUCCUUUAUGUUAUGUUUGGAUUGAAGAAUUUCAAAUCAGAGGAAUUGGAUACUAUUUUAUUUUAAAUUGUUCGAAUGAAAGUAAGUGCAUUUUUCAAUGAUUAAAUUCAUGAAUUGAAAAUAAAAUUCAUAAAUUUAGAGAAGAAUUUGUUUGAGGUGAAUUUAACGCUACACAUUUUUCUAGUUCAAUUCACACUCAAGUAAGAUUUUUAUCCAUAUUCAUGAACCUGACUUAAAUUCAUAAAUCUAAUCAAUAAAAGAAUCCAAGCACUAGUA